AAAGUCCAGUUAUGGAAGGAGAAGCUAGAUCCACCAUAUAGCGAGUCUUGUGCUGCUGAAGGUAACGACAGUAGUAAAGCGUAGACAGUGAAACAUUCGAGCCGAAACCAAAUGGUGAACGUGAUAUCCCCGAAAGGCUUAUAUAGUGGAAGCCGAUAUGUUAGACUACAUAGUAGGCAAAAGAAGAUUGGAGGUCAAACUAGUAAAAAAAAACCCAAAAAUUUUCAACCACCGGGGUCGCAGGCGU
Orientia tsutsugamushi is the source of this 247-nucleotide non-coding RNA. The record is from Rfam. NCBI's taxonomy places the organism in Bacteria, Pseudomonadati, Pseudomonadota, Alphaproteobacteria, Rickettsiales, Rickettsiaceae.